UACAGAGAGUGCGAACGUUGUUCGGAAUCACUGGGCAUAAAGCGCACGUAGGCGGCGCCUCAAGUGCGGUGUGAAAGCCCACGGCUUACCCGUGGAACUGCACAGCAGACUGAGGUGCUAGAGGAUGGUAGGGAUGAGCGGAACUCUUGGUGGAGCGGUGAAAUGCGUAGAGAUCAAGAGGAACACCGGUGGCGAAGGCGGCUCAUUGGUCCAUUUCUGACGCUGAGGUGCGAAAGCCAGGGGAGCAAACGGGAUUAGAUACCCCCGUAGUCC
This 273-nucleotide ribosomal RNA is filed under the name uncultured bacterium. RNAcentral's name for it is "partial 16S ribosomal RNA". It matches the Rfam family "Bacterial small subunit ribosomal RNA", at positions 524 to 796 of the family's 1533-position model. The record is from RNAcentral.